RNAcentral lists this ribosomal RNA (493 nucleotides) under uncultured bacterium. RNAcentral's name for it is "bacterial SSU rRNA". It matches the Rfam family "Bacterial small subunit ribosomal RNA", at positions 903 to 1397 of the family's 1533-position model. The record is from RNAcentral.
AAAGGAAUUGACGGGGGCCCGCACAAGCGGAGGAACAUGUGGUUUAAUUCGAUGAUACGCGAGGAACCUUACCCGGGUUUAAAUGGUGAGUGACAGAGGCAGAGAUGCCUUUUUCUUCGGACACUCAUCAAGGUGCUGCAUGGUUGUCGUCAGCUCGUGCCGUGAGGUGUCGGGUUAAGUCCCAUAACGAGCGCAACCCACGUUGUCAGUUACCAGCAUGUAAAGAUGGGGACUCUGGCAAGACUGCCGGUGUAAACCGCGAGGAAGGUGUGGAUGACGUCAAAUCAGCACGGCCCUUACAUCCGGGGCUACACACGUGUUACAAUGGCCGGUACAGAGGGCAGCUACACCGCGAGGUGGUGCGAAUCCCAUAAAACCGGUCCCAGUUCGGAUCGGAGUCUGCAACCCGACUCCGUGAAGCUGGAUUCGCUAGUAAUCGCGCAUCAGCCAUGGCGCGGUGAAUACGUUCCCGGGCCUUGUACACACCGCCCGU